Molecule: transfer RNA, 72 nt
Organism: Spizellomyces punctatus DAOM BR117
Lineage: Eukaryota; Fungi; Chytridiomycota; Chytridiomycetes; Spizellomycetales; Spizellomycetaceae
Rfam family: tRNA
About the family: Transfer RNA (tRNA) molecules are approximately 80 nucleotides in length. Their secondary structure includes four short double-helical elements and three loops (D, anti-codon, and T loops).
Source: Rfam
GGUUCCAUGGUGUAGCGGUUAGCACUCAGGACUCUGAAUCCUGCGACCCGAGUUCGAUUCUCGGUGGGACCU